GCCUCUUACUGGCUAUACUGCCUUGGGCAAGUGGCUUGACCUCUCUAAGCCUCAGUUUCCUCCUCUGUGGAAUACGGGUCUAGAAGGUGCUUGUGAAGAUCCAGGGUGAUGAUGCAGAUGGGGUGCCAGAUACAUAGUCAGCAACCAAUGAAUGUCGGCUGUACCUGGUCCCAAUUCCGAGAUUCACGCCCUCUGGAAAUCGCAGGUGGUGGGGGUGGGAUCCAGUGCCAGACAGCUCUAUGAACACGCUCUCCUGGCUACCUGGGCUUCAUCUGUUUGCUUAGGACUGACAGUGAGAUAAGAGAGGAUGAUUCCCCCCGCCCCGAGCCACAUGUUAGUGAAGCGGUAGAGAUAAUGCUGCUGUGAGUCCUGACGGAAAGUUGCUGGGGAGCAUCUUUAAAGUGCUCCUGGCUUGGUACACUACCCACUCGGGGCUUUGUGGCAAACUAUUCCCCCUGACUGCUACGGAACCUGGCUUCCAAUACCAUCUCCUCGCCCCUGCCCACCAUCUCCCUAUCUGAAUCCUAUUCACUUUUCAGGUCUUGGCUCAAAUGCUGCCUCCCCUAUGAAGAUGUCCUGACCCUCCCAGCCUAGAGUGACUGCUCCCUCCUUGAGUCUCAGGAUCUCCAACUGUGACAUGGGCAUACUGUUUGCAACAUACCCACAGAUGGAUUGUGAUGAGGAAGGAAAGAGAGAGUCCAUGUAGCAUGCUAAGUGUAGUGUCUGGUGCAGGCCUGUGCAUCUCAAGAAGUGGGAUGGAGUCUGAGGCAGGUGGAUCACUUGAGUCCUGGAGUUCGAGAUCAGCCUGGGCACCAUGGAGAAACCCGACUCUACCAAAAAUACAAGAGUACACACACACACAAAUAGCCAGGGGCAGUAACACAUGCCUGCAGUCCCAGCUUAUUGUGAGGCUGAGGUAGGAAAAUCGCU
RNAcentral lists this long non-coding RNA (930 nucleotides) under Macaca mulatta (Rhesus monkey). RNAcentral describes it as "lncRNA (ENSMMUG00000059432.1)". Lineage: Eukaryota; Metazoa; Chordata; Mammalia; Primates; Cercopithecidae. The record is from RNAcentral.